UUUUUCAUAUAUAAUAUUAUUCUGUUUUUAUAUGGGGGGAAUGAGGGUGAAAGUCCUUCGCUGGCACGCAACCGUAAAGUUUAAUUUAUUAAUACUAAAUUAACGAAGUCGGAUUACCCGCUAAUAAAUAAUCAGUCGA
This 139-nucleotide non-coding RNA is filed under the name Brachyspira hyodysenteriae. Lineage: Bacteria; Pseudomonadati; Spirochaetota; Spirochaetia; Brachyspirales; Brachyspiraceae. The record is from RNAcentral.